This is a long non-coding RNA of Lineus longissimus, 281 nucleotides long. RefSeq lists it as uncharacterized. The record is from RefSeq and is a predicted model, not a curated record. The transcript has 3 exons. NCBI's taxonomy places the organism in Eukaryota, Metazoa, Nemertea, Pilidiophora, Heteronemertea, Lineidae.
GUCCGACAUGUUGUAUAUGCCCAACUGUUUCAACAUCCUCGGUCUACCAUAUCUUUCGCCUGUUUGAAUUUUCUUCUGAUUCGACUCUGCACCUUAUCGAAGAACAUUACACAAUAACCAAGGACUUACGUGCGAUAUGAGUACAUCGGUUCAUCUUUCUAUUUGGCUAUUUGGCAGUGGUGAAAGAUUCUGUCCAACCUAUGUUUGAGAACGGUAUGGGUGUACUUGAGACCUCGGGUAAAAAAGGCAUCCAGAUUUCAAACUUUACCUAACGAUAGAGU